Molecule: long non-coding RNA, 1143 nt
Filed under: Ficedula albicollis (Collared flycatcher)
Lineage: Eukaryota; Metazoa; Chordata; Aves; Passeriformes; Muscicapidae
Description: lncRNA (ENSFALG00000023735.1)
Source: RNAcentral
GGACUAGCAGGCAGCUCCAGCCCCUUGCUUAUAUACCUGAAGCACCACCAGUUCUCAGUGACAUCUCUGGCCACUGUAGGAUUAGAGAACAAGGAGCAAAUGCUUUUCUUUUGAGGAGGUAAGCCAGAUUUUGUUGCCUGUCUCUCUGCACUGCUGAAUGACAGUCUGAGGUUUAACUGGCAAUCUGAGGUUUUCUGGCUGGAAACAAACCUGCUUCCUCAAACAAUAACAAAAAACCCCCAGAGUUAGCCUUGUUUUUCAGAAACUCCUGGCAGGUUGUUGGCACUGCUGAGGCAAGGCUGUGGGAGCUUCAGGGUGGCACUUGGACAGCUGAGGAGAGGCAGAACAUUUUUGGUCACAGUCACUGAGCAUCACUCUGAUCCCAGCUACUUCCCAGGGAUGGCAUAGGUGCCCUGGGAUGCUGCUGGUGUUUGUUGGCUCUCUGAAGCAUCUGCCUUGGGAUGCUGUGUCUGAGAGAUGCAUGCUGAGCUCCUGCAUGUCCCUCCAGGCAUGAUGGACCUCCAGCACUUGGUCAGCAAGCUGUCCCAGCGUGAGCACCUGGCCAGCCUGGGCAGGGAGCUCCUCCAGGACAUCCUGCGGUACCUGCACCGCGUCGGGCUCGUCGUGUGGUACGAGGAGAUCAAGCCCUUGGAGAGCACCGUGUUCCUCCAGCCCACAUUCCUAAUAACCAUGUUCAAGGCCAGGGAGUUUGUGCCUGGGAAGCCUUGGGAGACAACACGGAGCCAAGGCAAGUCCUGGUACUUGUUCCAAACCUAUCUGAACCAGACAGAGGAAGUGUCUGAGGUGUGGGAAGGAGACCACCCUGAGGACCUCCACGUUCGUGCCUACUUCUCACCUGAAAUACCUGAGGGCUUCUUCCAGAGGUUCCUGGUGAAAGCUUGCUCUUUCUAUUCCACGCACUGGGUGGCCAAGGUGACCUGCCUGCUUGUAUGCAAUGGCAAACCUCUGCUGAUCAAAGAGAAUAACCAGAGGGCCUACAGCUACCUGGAGCUCCACUGCAGAAAGCCAUCAGAAAGGACAGGUAAGAUCCCUGGUUCAUAUUUCGUGUCUCUCCUUAGCUCUGCCCCUGCCACCUCCAGCCCUAUGGGAAGUGUCCCAAGUAGCCUCUACCACAUGUCCUAG